RNA transcript from Sarcophilus harrisii (Tasmanian devil), 2684 nucleotides. It is a transcript of the gene named leucine rich melanocyte differentiation associated, with no coding region annotated. The transcript has 4 exons. The record is from RefSeq and is a predicted model, not a curated record. NCBI's taxonomy places the organism in Eukaryota, Metazoa, Chordata, Mammalia, Dasyuromorphia, Dasyuridae.
UGCCAAGAAAACUCCAAAAGUAGAGUCAUGAAAAGUUAGAUAUGACUGCAAACAAAUGGACAAUAUCAAGAGUUGAAGAAGUAUGUCAGAAUGAAUUUCCAAUGGGCUGGGACAGUAGAGUUCUGUGCUCCUUGAGAGGAGGGGGAAAGAACAGGUCAGGGAGUCAGAGUAGUAGUGGCAGUGGCAGGGAUGCUGGAUUGGGACUUUGUAAGAUGGACCUGAUGAAGAGAAAAGAACACAAAGACUGGUUUCUGUAUUCAGACCCAUUCUAAGACACUUAUUAGCUACAUGGAUCUUUACAUGCUAAUUUUGUUCUGUUAUUGAUAGGAUUCUUAUAAACAAAGAACUGCGAAUUUGCCAAUUAUCCCUAAUAUUGGUCUUUUAGCAAGUCUCUUGUUUAUAUCUAGUAAAAAAGAAUGAUAGUAGAAUCAUAUUCAGAACUAUGAGGGACUUUUGAGGUCAUGUGGUGCAAUUUCUACCCCUACUUUUUACAAAUGAGGAAACUGAGGAUCAGAAAGGGAAUUGAAUUGCCCCAAAUUACUCAAAGAGUAUAGAUGCAGAGUUGGGAAGUGAAUGUUGACCAAGUGACUCUAAGUCCUCUUCCAAUAAGCCAUAUGAGGAAGGGGCUCUGGUUUUCAUGUAAUAAUAAUAAUAGCCCAUAUCUUAUACACAUACUCUUUACAAAGUGCUUUGUAUAAUUUAUCAUGUGCAGGAAUGACAGGUAAAAGAAAUUACCUUAUGUUCCCUUGUACUAAUCCAAUUCCAUCUCUCCCCCUAAGCAUCCCCAUUGUACCAUUAGUUAAGGCUGCUGGCAAUAGUUCCAGUUUCAAGAAUAUUUUUGUGUCAGUUCAAUAAUAUUGUGCAUUCUAUUCAUUUUAGGGAGCUGGGGUGUGUCCAAUGAAGAAGAUGAUUGGGAUAAUGAGGAAAUUUGAGGUCAUGUUUUAUGAAGAUCAAUGGAAAGAACUCUGGGAAACUUGGGAUGGAUAAGAGAAAAAUUGAGUGGGUAGGAAGCACAGUUGUUGGCUUCAAAAACUUGAAGGGUCCUCAUACUCUAGAAAGUCUAGACAUGUUCUGCUUAUCUCUACUCAGCAGAGCCAGGAGUUUUGGAUAGCAGUUACAAAGAGUACAUUUUUGUUCAAGUCUCUCCUCCCUCAAGUUCUCGUUACAAAUAAGUAGAAUCAAGAAAACCAAAUCAUUGUUGAUCAUGUCUGAAUGUUUGUCGCUUUCUGCUCUACAAACUGCAUCAUCUCUAUUUGAAGAGGAAGGCGGCAUGCUGCAUCAUUAGUCUUUGGAAGUCAUGGUUAGUUGCUGCAUUGAUCGAAGUUCUUAAAUCUUUCCAAGCCAUUUUUUAUAUUAUUGUGAUUAUUGUAUAUAAAAUUUUCUCCUUGUUCUACUCUUCAUUUUGUAACAGUUUAUGUAGUUCUUUCAAGUUUCUCUGAAUUCCUCACAUUUGUCAUUUUAAAAAUAUAGUCUAAUAACAUUCCAUUGCAUUGGUAUUUUUUCAACUAUUUCUGAAGUGACAGACUUUGUUUUAAUGUUUGCUAAAUAUGUUUGUCCUUUCCCUCUAUCUUUGACCUCUUUGAGAUUUAUCUUAUCAGAAGUUGCCGAGUGAUGUCAGGAAGACCAUUUAUUGGAUUAUGUUGUAGGGGAUUUAUAUUCAAAUAUGAAUUGGACAAGAUGGCCCUUCUCGUCCCGACCAACUCUGAGAUGUGGACUGAGCACCUACUAAGUCCAAGUCACAACACGUUCUAAGUGUGACAGGAUAUGAAGGAAAUCUAAAGACACUGAUCUCUGCCCUCUAUGAGUUUACAAACUCGUGCGGGGAUAAAGAUUUGCUUACUCAAUAAAUAAAAAACAAAAGAAUAUGACAACAUAACUAUGGAAUUGUAGAAAAAGUCAUUGCUGCAAGGGAACAGAGAUCUACCGGUGCAAACAUCAAACCCGUUAGCUCCUCGGGAUGAUAGACGGUGUCCUGUCGGAGAGGAGACACUUGAAAGCGAACUAUCAAAGCAUCUUUCAUAGUUAGAUUGGCAAACAAGAGGAGCUGCUCACCUAAUCAAGAGUAGUAUGGUCACACCUGGGAUCUGCUUGGAGUUCUGAGAAGAAUUCAGAAAUCUCAGUAUGUUCUAGUAAUAUCUUCAAAUAGUUAAUGUUGUAGAAUAAAAAUUCAGACCCCUAUGAGCUUUGCCAUCAUAUAGGCCUUGGGAAGUCACUUAAUUUUACUGAGCCUAAGUUUCCUUAUCUGUGAGAUGAGCUUUUCCAAUUCUGAGGUUCUCUAUUCUAGGGGUCCCUUGAAGCUCUAUUGAUUCAUUAUAAAUGUUCGAAUAGAUUAUAAGCUUCUUGGGAUCAAAGACCGUUUUCACUUUUGUUUUUGGAUGCCCAUUUAAUUAAGAGAUACUUUCAUAUAUACUUGUUGACUGAUAGUCUAAGGAUCAGAAUCAUAAUUUUAAUUUUUUUUGCUCAGGGCAAAUAUCACAAACUAGGUCCUCAAUUCAGCCAGAAUCAGUGACAUAGAGGGGUAUGAGAUACAGAGACCCCCAGGACCCCUGCUCAGGGCUUCCUCAAAGAGUUGGGAAUGGAAAGUGCCUUUCCAGGUUCGCUUCCAUACUAUGAUGAAACAGUGGAGGGGGACUUCUGCUGAUGUUAUUCAGUUAUUUUCAAUCAUAUAGAACUCUUCAUGACCC